GGAGUAUCUUUCUGGAGAUCCCUGCCUCCUGGAGCUACCCCCCUGAAGAGGAGGCACAGCUACAAAGGACUCGUUAACCCCCACCAUCACCACAGCGGGCAGCAGCCGCAAGUCACUGAUCUCUGAAAGCUGCUGGAUUUCCUGCGCGCAAAGAUCUCUGCCUACCUGCUAUGGGGCAAACCCCUGUUCUCCAUCAGCCCUGGGCAGAAGACACAACGAGGACAUGGAUCUGGCAGGAAAAAUGCUGGAAGAUGGAACCUCUACUUGUCCCCACCGCAGAUGUAAAGCUGGGGAUCCCACUCCUGCUUGUGUUCAUUUCGGAGACAAGCAGGAAAGUGCAUCAUCUGGUGGCUCUGGCACAGCCAGAGCAGCACACCACAGCUGGAUAGCUGAUCUGUGCCUCUCGCCUCGCUGAGAGGCCUACCACAUGCUACGAAAUGCUUUAAUGUCCCUUUAACAUUCCGUAUAAAUAAUUUCCG
Molecule: long non-coding RNA, 479 nt
Filed under: Gallus gallus (chicken)
Lineage: Eukaryota; Metazoa; Chordata; Aves; Galliformes; Phasianidae
Source: RNAcentral